UCCGGAGGGUGCAAGCGUUGUCCGGAUUUAUUGGGUUUAAAGGGUGCGUCGGCGGUCCGUUAAGUCAGUGGUGAAAGCCUCCAGCUCAACUGGAGAACUGCCAUUGAUACUGACGGGCUUGAGUACAGACGAGGUUGGCGGAAUUGAUUGUGUAGCGGUGAAAUGCAUAGAUACAAUCAAGAACACCGAUUGCGUAGGCAGCUAACUAGGCUGUAACUGACGCUGAGGCACGAAAGCGUGGGGAGCGAACAGG
RNAcentral lists this ribosomal RNA (253 nucleotides) under uncultured bacterium. RNAcentral describes it as "partial 16S ribosomal RNA". It matches the Rfam family "Bacterial small subunit ribosomal RNA", at positions 524 to 776 of the family's 1533-position model. The record is from RNAcentral.